CACACUCUCUGACCUCACGUCACUGAAGACCUUGGUCCUGAUACACUGGGUUGUCACCUGGGACGUGAGGGCACACUCUAUGACCUCCCCUCACUGAGGACCGUGGUCCUGAACAAUGGGCUCUCAACUGGGAGUUGAGGGCACACUGUCUGACCUCCCCUCACUGGGGACAUUGGUCCUGACACACUGGGCUGUCACCUGGGUGGUGAUGGCACAUUCUCUGACCUCCACUCACUGAGGACCUAGGCCCUGACACACUGGGCUGUCACCUGGAGAUGAGGGCACACUCUCUGACCUCCCCUCACUGAGGAAGUAUGUCCUGACACACUGGGCUGACACCUGCGAGGUGA
Molecule: long non-coding RNA, 350 nt
Filed under: Marmota monax (woodchuck)
Lineage: Eukaryota; Metazoa; Chordata; Mammalia; Rodentia; Sciuridae
Source: RNAcentral